Molecule: ribosomal RNA, 253 nt
Filed under: uncultured bacterium
Lineage: Bacteria
Description: partial 16S ribosomal RNA
Rfam family: Bacterial small subunit ribosomal RNA
Source: RNAcentral
UACGUAGGGUGCGAGCGUUAAUCGGAAUUACUGGGCGUAAAGCGUGCGCAGGCGGUUGUGCAAGACCGAUGUGAAAUCCCCGGGCUCAACCUGGGAAUGGCAUUGGUGACUGCACGGCUAGAGUGUGUCAGAGGGGGGUAGAAUUCCACGUGUAGCAGUGAAAUGCGUAGAGAUGUGGAGGAACACCGAUGGCGAAGGCAGCCCCCUGGGACCUGACUGACGCUCAUGUACGAAAGCGUGGGGAGCAAACAGG